RNAcentral lists this long non-coding RNA (954 nucleotides) under Marmota monax (woodchuck). The record is from RNAcentral. Lineage: Eukaryota; Metazoa; Chordata; Mammalia; Rodentia; Sciuridae.
GCCUUUAGUUUAUUCAUUUAUUUAUAUGUGGUGCGGAGAAUUGAACCCAGUGCCUCGCCCUUGCUAGGCAAGUGCUCUGCCACUGAGCCACAGCCCCCCAGACUGAGCAAUUUAAAGAGACCAUAAGCAGUUUAACAAAACUCAAAGUAAAAAGGGCUAGGGAUGCCACUCAGUGGUUAAAUGCCCCUAGGUUAAGUCCUCAGUACCAAAAAUAAAAAAUUAAACACACACACACACGGUAUACAGGCAGGUGUGGUAGCACAUGUCUAUAAUCCCAGCAUUCAGGAGGCUGAGGUAGGAGGAUUGCAAAUUCAAGGCCAGCCUGGACAACAUAGCAAGACCCUGUCUUAAAGUUAAAAAAAAAAAAAAAGUACUUUGAGGGAGGGGGAAUGUAAAACAAAAUUUCAGGGAUAUGUUUUGUAAAAAAAUAAAGAAGGACAAAGAACAUAAAGAUCAUUUUCUCCAUACAUAGUGGUUGCACCAACUUAGUUUAUUGAAAUUUGCUUAGUUUACUGAAAUUUAGCAAUAAAUUUCAACUUAGUUUACUGAAAUUUGCUUAGUUUACUGAAGUUUACUGAGCACAGUUGUAUUUGAAACAGAGGUCAUAAAAUAUGGUAUUGGCUAGCUAGUAAGAUUCCUUUGAAAAUAAAGACUUAAUCAUUUAAAAUAGGCAUAAAAUUGAUCUAGGAGAUAGUUGGUGAUAAGUCUGACCCACAAUUUCACAUUAAAUCGAGUAUCACAGAAAGUUGAUUACACAGACCUUUGAGCUCUCUGCACUUCAUAAUAACACAGUACACACUAUAGGAGGUUGUUAGCAGCAGUAUGAAGAUUGAAAUUCCUAAUUACAACCAGAACACUUUGGUCAGGUCUAACUCUAUUACCUAAUCUUGGUUGUCAUUUAAUCCACUUGUGGGUGUUUUAAUGUGAAAAUGGAUAAAAUAAUUUGUGUCUACC